AGCUUUGCGCAGUGGCAGUAUUGUAGCCAAUGAGGUUUAUCCGAGGCGCGAUUAUUGCUAAUUGAGAGUUCAAGUCCCACGUUGGGUGUGGACAUCACUUAAAAAUAAAAUCUUAAAAAAAAAAAAAAAAAAAAAAGAUAGUGAUUU
Prionailurus viverrinus (fishing cat) is the source of this 147-nucleotide small nuclear RNA. RefSeq annotates it as U4 spliceosomal RNA. NCBI's taxonomy places the organism in Eukaryota, Metazoa, Chordata, Mammalia, Carnivora, Felidae. The record is from RefSeq and is a predicted model, not a curated record. The transcript has a single exon.